RNAcentral lists this ribosomal RNA (775 nucleotides) under uncultured Neocallimastigales. Its description in RNAcentral is "partial large subunit ribosomal RNA". It matches the Rfam family "Eukaryotic large subunit ribosomal RNA", at positions 23 to 638 of the family's 3401-position model. Lineage: Eukaryota; Fungi; Neocallimastigomycota; Neocallimastigomycetes; Neocallimastigales. The record is from RNAcentral.
GAGACUCUGUGCGCGUGCAUAUCAAUAAGCGGAGGAAAAGAAACUAACAAGGAUUCCCCUAGUAACGGCGAGUGAAGCGGGAAGAGCUCAAAUUUGAAAUCUUAAAGGGUUUCCCUUUACGAAUUGUAGUUUAAAGAAGUGUUUUCUGUUGGAGUUUCGGUAAAAGUUCUUUGGAAUAGGACAUCAUAGAGGGUGAGAAUCCCGUAUUUGACCGUUACUUUCCAGCUGUGUGAUACACUUUCAAAGAGUCGGAUUGUUUGGGAAUGCAGUCCAAGAUGGGUGGUAAAUUUCAUCUAAAGCUAAAUAUUGGCGAGAGACCGAUAGCGAACAAGUACCGUGAGGGAAAGAUGAAAAGAACUUUGAAAAGAGAGUUAAACAGUACGUGAAAUUGUCAAAAGGGAAGCGUUUGACACCAGUGUUGUUUAGUUGAAAAUCAAUUCAAUAGUUUUUGAUUCUAAGUAGUAUUGACUUCAUCAGCUUGCUGCUUUCUUCUCAGAAAUUAUUGAAUGCACUUUUCAGUUAACAAGUCAACAUCAAUCUCUUUUGUUGUAAAAGGGUAAGAGGAAGGUGGCUUGCGCUUCGGCUCAAGUGUUUAUAGCCUUUUAUCUCUGCAAUCGGAGAGAUUGAGGUCUGCAGCGUAGAUCCUUCGGGGUUAGAUACAUUGGUGCUAAGCUAUAGCCUUGUAUAGACAACUUGUUGACUAUGCUCAGUCAUGUAGCUUACUCGCUGAUGCUAUUUUACCUACGCUUAGGAUGUUGACAGCAGUAUAGACUGU